This 488-nucleotide ribosomal RNA is filed under the name uncultured bacterium. Its description in RNAcentral is "partial 16S ribosomal RNA". It matches the Rfam family "Bacterial small subunit ribosomal RNA", at positions 28 to 506 of the family's 1533-position model. The record is from RNAcentral.
GAUGAACGCUAGCGGCAGGCUUAAUACAUGCAAGUCGAGGGGCAGCAGGACUGUAGCAAUACAGUUGCUGGCGACCGGCAAACGGGUGCGGAACACGUACGCAACCUACCCAAAACUGGGGGAUAGCCCGGGGAAACCCGGAUUAAUACCUCGUAACCUUUUUAAGUGGCAUCACUUGAUAAGUAUAGCUCCGGCGGUUUUGGAUGGGCGUGCGCCUGAUUAGGUAGUUGGUGCGGGUAACGGCCCACCAAGCCUGCGAUCAGUAACUGGUGUGAGAGCACGACCCGUCCCCCGGGCACUGAGACCCGGGCCCGACUCCUACGGGGGGCAGCAGUAAGGAAUAUUGGUCAAUGGACGCAAUUUUGAACCAGCCAUGCCGCGUGAAGGAUGAAGGUCCUCUGGAUUUUAAACUUCUUUUAUGGGGGACGAAACCCGGAUUUUUUUAUCCGAUGGGCGGUCCCUCAGGAAUAAGCACCGGCUAACUCCGU